Caenorhabditis elegans is the source of this 140-nucleotide non-coding RNA. The record is from Ensembl. Lineage: Eukaryota; Metazoa; Nematoda; Chromadorea; Rhabditida; Rhabditidae.
AAAAAACAGUGAGACAAUAGGGUUCUAGUAGGCGGAAGAGAUGAAAAGUUUUUGUCUUUUUUUUCUCGUUUCCGCAUGGUUUUUGGGGGGCGUGAUUCGGCGGAAAGCACGGGUAAACACUGACAAAAAAAACACACCUG